RNAcentral lists this ribosomal RNA (255 nucleotides) under uncultured bacterium. RNAcentral describes it as "partial 16S ribosomal RNA". It matches the Rfam family "Bacterial small subunit ribosomal RNA", at positions 524 to 776 of the family's 1533-position model. The record is from RNAcentral.
UACGAAGGGGGGCUAGCGUUGCUCGGAAUCACUGGGCGUAAAGGGCCAGUAGGCGGCCAACUAAGUCGGAUGUGAAAUCCCCCAGGCUUAACCCGGGAACUGCAUCCGAUACUGGAUGGCUUGAAUUCGGGAGAGGGAUGCAGAAUUCCAGGUGUAGCGGUGAAAUGCGUAGAUAUCUGGAGGAACACCGGUGGCGAAGGCGGCAUCCUGGACCGGCACUGACGCUGAUGAGCGAAAGCCAGGGGAGCAAACGGG